This 222-nucleotide small nucleolar RNA is filed under the name Chinchilla lanigera (long-tailed chinchilla). RNAcentral's name for it is "Small nucleolar RNA SNORD17 (ENSCLAG00000019254.1)". It matches the Rfam family "Small nucleolar RNA SNORD17". From Rfam's summary of the family: The snoRNA HBI-43 belongs to the C/D family of snoRNAs, guiding 2'O-ribose methylation at position U3797 of the 28S rRNA. Pseudouridylation in position U3797 is predicted to be guided by the H/ACA snoRNA ACA48. The record is from Rfam by way of RNAcentral. Lineage: Eukaryota; Metazoa; Chordata; Mammalia; Rodentia; Chinchillidae.
GUGAAGUGAUGAUUCAGUUUAUCCAUUCGCUGAGAGCGCCGCACCGACCUCCUCUAAGCCCCUGUUCCUGUUCUAGGGACUUGGGCCAUGUGGCCCCCAGUGCUGCGCAGCCUGCAGCGUUCUGCUGUGGGUGCCCAGUGCUGGGCCUGCAGGAGGACGGUCGGAGGUGGCAGGGUGGGGCUCCCGUCCCACCCACCAAGAUGAGUGGUGGAAUCUGAUCAC